This 253-nucleotide unclassified non-coding RNA is filed under the name uncultured Caryophanales bacterium. RNAcentral's name for it is "uncultured Bacillales bacterium contains 16S-23S intergenic spacer region". It matches the Rfam family "Bacterial small subunit ribosomal RNA", at positions 524 to 776 of the family's 1533-position model. The record is from RNAcentral. Lineage: Bacteria; Bacillati; Bacillota; Bacilli; Caryophanales.
UACGUAGGUGGCAAGCGUUGUCCGGAAUUAUUGGGCGUAAAGCGCGCGCAGGCGGCCUCUUAAGUCUGAUGUGAAAGCCCCCGGCUCAACCGGGGAGGGCCAUUGGAAACUGGCAGGCUAGAGUCUUGUAGAGGGGGGUAGAAUUCCAGGUGUAGCGGUGAAAUGCGUAGAGAUGUGGAGGAACACCAGUGGCGAAGGCGACUCUUUGGCCUAUAACUGACGCUGAGGCGCGAAAGCGUGGGGAGCAAACAGG